GAGUUUGAUUAUGGCUCAGAUUGAACGCUGGCGGCAGGCUUAACACAUGCAAGUCGAACGAUGACUCUCUAGCUUGCUAGAGAAGAUUAGUGGCGGACGGGUGAGUAACAUUUAGGAAUCUGCCUAGUAGUGGGGGAUAGCUCGGGGAAACUCGAAUUAAUACCGCAUACGACCUACGGGUGAAAGGGGGCGCAAGCUCUUGCUAUUAGAUGAGCCUAAAUCAGAUUAGCUAGUUGGUGGGGUAAAGGCCCACCAAGGCGACGAUCUGUAACUGGUCUGAGAGGAUGAUCAGUCACACCGGAACUGAGACACGGUCCGGACUCCUACGGGAGGCAGCAGUGGGGAAUAUUGGACAAUGGGGGCAACCCUGAUCCAGCCAUGCCGCGUGUGUGAAGAAGGCCUUUUGGUUGUAAAGCACUUUAAGCAGGGAGGAGAGGCUAAUGGUUAAUACCCAUUAGAUUAGACGUUACCUGCAGAAUAAGCACCGGCUAACUCUGUGCCAGCAGCCGCGGUAAUACAGAGGGUGCGAGCGUUAAUCGGAAUUACUGGGCGUAAAGCGAGUGUAGGUGGCUCAUUAAGUCACAUGUGAAAUCCCCGGGCUUAACCUGGGAACUGCAUGUGAUACUGGUGGUGCUAGAAUAUGUGAGAGGGAAGUAGAAUUCCAGGUGUAGCGGUGAAAUGCGUAGAGAUCUGGAGGAAUACCGAUGGCGAAGGCAGCUUCCUGGCAUAAUAUUGACACUGAGAUUCGAAAGCGUGGGUAGCAAACAGGAUUAGAUACCCUGGUAGUCCACGCCGUAAACGAUGUCUACUAGCCGUUGGGGUCCUUGAGACUUUAGUGGCGCAGUUAACGCGAUAAGUAGACCGCCUGGGGAGUACGGCCGCAAGGUUAAAACUCAAAUGAAUUGACGGGGGCCCGCACAAGCGGUGGAGCAUGUGGUUUUAUUUCGAUGCAACGCGAAGAACCUUACCUGGUCUUGACAUAGUGAGAAUCUCUCAGAGAUGAGAGAGUGCCUUUCGGAACUCACAAUAACAGGUGCUGCAUGCUGUCGUCAGCUCGUGUCGUGAGAUGUGGGUUAAGUUC
RNAcentral lists this ribosomal RNA (1081 nucleotides) under uncultured Pseudomonadota bacterium. RNAcentral describes it as "bacterial SSU rRNA". It matches the Rfam family "Bacterial small subunit ribosomal RNA", at positions 9 to 1087 of the family's 1533-position model. Lineage: Bacteria; Pseudomonadati; Pseudomonadota. The record is from RNAcentral.